This is a long non-coding RNA of Brassica napus (rape), 1539 nucleotides long. RefSeq lists it as uncharacterized. The transcript has 2 exons. The record is from RefSeq and is a predicted model, not a curated record. NCBI's taxonomy places the organism in Eukaryota, Viridiplantae, Streptophyta, Magnoliopsida, Brassicales, Brassicaceae.
UAAAAAUGAUUACAAAAUCAUAUAAGUAGAAAGUAUCAUUUAAUAAUUAUUAAAAUUAAGGAUAUAUAUAUAUAUAUAUAUAUUAAAAUUAUUUUAAAUUAAACUAUAUACCAUAUAAAAUACAUAAAUAUUUUAAUUUCAAAAUUACUUUGAACAAAAUUUUCUUGAUAAAAUCUUUCGGCAAACAUCAACAACUUAAUAUUUCAAUAAUAUAUAAAUUACUAAAAUUAUUAUUCCCACAAUGAAAAUUUUAUUAUCAGUAAUUUAAAAUUUUUGCUAUAAGAAAUACACAUGAUCAAAAAAAUCAUAUGAGUAGAAACCAUCAUUUAAUAGACAUUAAUAUUAAAUAUAUACUAUAUAUAUGUUAAUAUUAUUUAAAUUUAAUUAUAUAUUCUAUCAAAUAGAAAAAAAAUAUUGUUUGGAUUAAUAAAGUUUAUUUAUAUGUUCGCACCAAUUUAAUUAUAUAUGUAAUAGUUACUGAUUUUUUAAUUAUUUAAUAUAUAUUUAUUAUUUAAUAAUAUGUAAAAAACAUAUAAUAAAUAAAAUAAUUUUAUAUAUAAUGUUCAUUCUGCGUAAGGCGCGGAUAUAUAACUUUCAGGAACAGAGGGCACAAGUUGUGGAGUCAAAAAGAAACAUCUUCUUCUACACAUAUCUAUUUAGUAUUGUGAUGCAACAUGUCUUCCUCUUGUUUGCUUGCAGGCAGGAACGAGGCUGUGAUCGAAGAAAGAGAGCAAGGGAUUCAAGAAAUACAUAAUCAGAUUGGAGAGAUUAACAAAAUAUUCAAAGAUCUUGCGGUUCUUGUUAAAGACCAAGGAGUUAUGAUAGGUGAACAAAAUCUAUAAGAGCAUGGCCUCAGUUCUACAGUUGCGGAGCUCACUUUAUUUGUUUAAAUUGGCAGAAGAUAUUGGUACUCACAUUGACAACUCUCGAGCUGAAACUGCUCAAGGAAGAUCUCAGCUCGCACAAGCCUCAAACACACACAAAGAUCAAAACUCAUCUCUGCUUGAUGUUGGAAAAGCAAGAACAAGUUUUUGGAAUGUUUUCAUCGAUCGUAAAAGCAUCAACGAGUAUGUAACGUGACAAAGCUUAGUAGUUGGGUUUAAGGGUGUACUGGUUACUGUAAUAGAGUGGGUGGUGUGGUUUUUUUUAUUUGUUGGAGAUAAGCGUCUUGCUUGUAUUUCUCCUAAAUUCUAAUAAACCGGAACUCUGGAAGUAUCAUGGAAGAGAUUGGUUUUGCACCGGUUCAAACUUGCCAAAAAAAAAGUGAUUGAGAUUGAGAGAAGCGUGUUGCUGCAGUCACAAGGAAGUCCAAAAGCUAAUUUAUCAAGACUGCUUCGGGUUCUUGCAAGCUUCAACCUCGUGCAACAAGAAUUGAAAACGCAAACAUACUCUGUAUGAUUCCUGAUUCCGGCAGCGACAUCCAAGACGAGGGAUCUAGUUUAGGUCUUGGAUCCACUCUCUUGAAGAGGCUGUAUAGAUAAGCAGAGGAACAAUCUUAACGAUAUGAACCUAAACAAGAGAUCGAGAUAAUUGACUUGA